AGAUAUUAAAUGAACGAGGAAACAGCCCAAUAAGCGAGGGAAAGGUCAAAGGGCAACUCGCGCUCUGGUUCGCGCGAUCGGUCUUGCGGCGCGGAAAGUGUGUCAAGUUUGCCGAUAAGAUAAUCCGCGUCUUCGGCGUAUCGGUGUCCUUGGCACGAUAUUCGGAUGUGGAGCAGCUGCCAAUAAAGUUGGGCGCCAGCGCGGAAGAGCCGGACGCGAGGAUAUGGAGUGUAUCUCGCGCGCGGAUCGCCGCUAUAAUGUGGGUCGCGCGAUUCUUUUCGCAAUCCCGGCGGAAAGACGCACGCCACGAAAUCCAGCCGAAAUGUCCGGUGCACUUGACGUAUGAGUGCACGCAACGACAUGCAAGCACGUGCCGGCGCGUUGCGUAUGCAAAAUUAUUGUUUUAUGCCGAGCGCCGGAUUUCGCGGACAGGUCUACGCCGAAAGCGCGGUCCAUGAAUUAAACAUCGAAUGCUAAUCCAGAGGAACCGUAAACCGAUCUUGAUCGUAAUCGCGACGCGGUCGGCCGUUUCUGUGUCUUCCGAGCGUUACUUGGCGCACGGGGAGCUCCUUCCUUUUUCUUCCUGUACCUCGAGGAGUCACGUGAAAAUAUCAUUAGCAUAGGACGUAGCGGCAUACCGGGCAAAUGAGUAAUUACGAUGGUAUCGGUAUCUCAUACAUCUCCCUCGUAUUCCCCGCAAACGAUAUUGCGUGCGCGGAAUACGCGAGCGGGGGAGCGAACGAAGAGAACUACGAAUGUUGCAUAUAAAUCGCUAUAAACAACGGCCAGGACGGUGAGAAAGGGCCUUCCCCAAGUUCAGAAGCGCGCAGAGCCGGUGCGUCACUUUGUCAGCACGUGCACGAAUCCCAAAUCGAGGAGAUGAUCGUCAAGAGACGGCACUCGCUGAUGGAAUAUGAAAUCUCGAUCGCAGUCUCCUUACAGGAAAAACAUGAAGGAUCUGGGAAUCGUCUAUCGAUGUGAUUCAAUGCCUCGAUCAUGAAUGUAAGUAAAAAAACUCGGGGAUCUGUAAUGCAAAAUGUCAUAAAACAGAUUGUGUGUUUGGAUAUUUAAAUUUAAAAUGCUUAAUAUUCUUCAGAACAGGUGAUACUAAGAGAACGAAAAAAGAAAUUUCGGAGCAUAAAAAUCUACGAUUGAAGAAACUUGCGAAACGACAUAAAAAUCUACGAUUGAAGAUUAAGCGACUGAAGAAACUGAAGAUUAAAUAUCUUGUGGUUCAAUACAAUUGAUUUUGUAGAUCUGUUUAAUUAGUAAUUCAAUUGUGAUUCCAAAUUACAUACCGCUUAUGUAAAUUGUGAAUCUAGAUUCUUUUCGCGUUGUUUUUAUGGCUCCUCUCUUUGAUUUAUACAUAAUAUAAUCAUGAAAUCACCGCUGCAGGCUCUUACUAAAGUCGAUCGAAUACGUACGCGCUCGGUGUCCCGAGAUCCUUCAUCAAAAGGCAGCGCAGAUUCACCAUUUAACCGCGCAUUUUUCCGAGCGGUAGGGCGGUAAGCCAGUGGUAUAUAAAACAGCGGGGUGAUAGCGAUUAUUCUUCCGUUGGAGAACGAUUGGAGAACAAAGAUGACAACGCGAUUAGCGUGGACGAGUGUUUCCAGGAAGGAUGUCGCAUAGCUGUUAAUCCCAACGGCUCAGGAAGCGUGAAAGCCACGAUAAGAAAACAUUGAGCCCGUGACGCAAUGAUGUUUUCAUUAUACGGUUUUUUGGACAUUCACUUGGUGCCGCUAUAGAUUCUGUGUUAUCACGGAUGCCAGGGAGAUCGAAGGAAACUGAGUGAUUCACAAGAAAUAUCAUUACGAGAUUAUGACCGGAGUGUCCAAAAGAAACAACUAAAAUGAAGUUAAUCAUCCUGCUGUUACUGCUGGUCAGUUCUGUUCUCUGUAUACCUUGGCUCGAUUUGUGGUUCCCUCAGCAGCCCUCGUACAAUCGAAAUACCGGAUACUAUGCAAACGGCUAUCGUCAAGGUAGAGGUGGUAAGGAGCGCUGGAGACAGAUCUGCAGGACUAUAAAUCCAGAUGCGUACGCGUUUCCGGGACGUGUGCCUUAUCCCGCCGCGCCUGUUUGUCCGUGGUGAGGGAAAUUCUCGAUCGAGCUCUCAAUCUGUCGUGCCAAACGAGAACGUGUCGUGCGUUCAAAAUAUGAAUUUAUUGUAACAACGUAGCUUUUUAGACAAUAUACGUCCACCGGUUAUGA
This is a long non-coding RNA of Vollenhovia emeryi, 2208 nucleotides long. RefSeq lists it as uncharacterized. The transcript is spliced from 4 exons. NCBI's taxonomy places the organism in Eukaryota, Metazoa, Arthropoda, Insecta, Hymenoptera, Formicidae. The record is from RefSeq and is a predicted model, not a curated record.